RNAcentral lists this non-coding RNA (21 nucleotides) under Caenorhabditis elegans. The record is from RNAcentral. Lineage: Eukaryota; Metazoa; Nematoda; Chromadorea; Rhabditida; Rhabditidae.
UGUAAUAAUAGUUUUAAAAAA